RNAcentral lists this ribosomal RNA (425 nucleotides) under uncultured Alphaproteobacteria bacterium. RNAcentral's name for it is "bacterial SSU rRNA". It matches the Rfam family "Bacterial small subunit ribosomal RNA", at positions 8 to 451 of the family's 1533-position model. Lineage: Bacteria; Pseudomonadati; Pseudomonadota; Alphaproteobacteria. The record is from RNAcentral.
AGAGUUUGAUCCUGGCUCAGAACGAACGCUGGCGGCAUGCCUAACACAUGCAAGUCGAACGAGGGUUCUGCUUCGGCGGGGCCCUAGUGGCGCACGGGUGAGUAACGCGUGGGAACCUGCCCUGUGGUACGGAAUAACUCCGGGAAACUGGAGCUAAGACCGUAUGUGUCCUGCGGGACAAAGAUUUAUCGCCAUGGGAUGGGCCCGCGUAGGAUUAGCUUGUUGGUGGGGUAACGGCCUACCAAGGCAACGAUCCUUAGCUGGUCUGAGAGGAUGAUCAGCCACACUGGGACUGAGACACGGCCCAGACUCCUACGGGAGGCAGCAGUGGGGAAUAUUGGACAAUGGGCGCAAGCCUGAUCCAGCAAUGCCGCGUGAGUGAUGAAGGCCUUCGGGUUGUAAAGCUCUUUCGCACGCGACGAUGA